Molecule: ribosomal RNA, 408 nt
Filed under: Triticum aestivum (bread wheat)
Lineage: Eukaryota; Viridiplantae; Streptophyta; Magnoliopsida; Poales; Poaceae
Description: partial small subunit ribosomal RNA
Source: RNAcentral
AUGAGGAAGUACUGGGGUGAUCCUGAAAAGAUGAACAAGUAUAUAUUCAUUGCUGCCAUCCUUGAUCCAAGGACCAAGGAUUCUCAUUUCUUUAAAGACAUGAUUGAAGACACCUAUGGUAGUAUAAUAGGUAAAAGAAUCUUGACAUCUUCCCACAAUGAAUUUGUCUCUCUUUUUGGAGAAUAUAGAGAAUUAUAUGGAACCAGUACUCCUAGGGAAUUAGCAUCACAAGCUCGUCCUAGUGCAAAUGCUUCUGAAAAUUAUCUAGUGAGGUCACGAUACAACCAGAAAAUAAUGAGAGUUUGCGGAGAGGGCAGCACUAGCACAAAUACCAGAACUGAAUUAGACAAGUACCUAGCUGAGGACACAGAAGAGUUGACUACUGAAUUUGACCUUCUUGAAUGGUAG